Molecule: ribosomal RNA, 406 nt
Filed under: uncultured bacterium
Lineage: Bacteria
Description: partial 16S ribosomal RNA
Rfam family: Bacterial small subunit ribosomal RNA
Source: RNAcentral
AUUGAACGCUGGCGGCAGGCCUAACACAUGCAAGUCGAACGAGUGGCGGACGGGUGAGUAAUGUCUGGGAAACUGCCUGAUGGGGGGGGAUAACUACUGGAAACGGUAGCUAAUACCGCAUACCAUCAGAUGUGCCCAGAUGGGAUUAGCUGGUAGGUGGGGUAACGGCUCACCUAGGCGACGAUCCCUAGCUGGUCUGAGAGGAUGACCAGCCACACUGGAACAGAGACACGGUCCAGACGCCUACGGGAGGCAGCAGUGGGGAAUGUUGCACAAUGGGCGCCAGCCUGAUGCAGCCAUGCCGCGUGUGUGAAGAAGGCCUUCGGGUUGUAAUGCACUUUCAGCGGGGAGGCGUUACCCGCAGAAGAAGCACAGGCUAACUCCGUGCCAGCAGCCGCGGUAAUUC